UGGGGAAUUUUGGACAAUGGGGGAAACCCUGAUCCAGCCAUCCCGCGUGUGCGAUGAAGGCCUUCGGGUUGUAAAGCACUUUUGGCAGGAAAGAAACGUCAUGGGUUAAUACCCCGUGAAACUGACGGUACCUGCAGAAUAAGCACCGGCUAACUACGUGCCAGCAGCCGCGGUAAUACGUAGGGUGCAAGCGUUAAUCGGAAUUACUGGGCGUAAAGCGUGCGCAGGCGGUUCGGAAAGAAAGAUGUGAAAUCCCCGAGCUCAACUUUGGAACUGCAUUUUUAACUACCGGGCUAGAGUGUGUCCGAGGGAGGUGGAAUUCCGCGUGUAGCAGUGAAAUGCGUAGAUAUGCGGAGGAACACCGAUGGCGAAGGCAGCCUCCUGGGAUAACACUGACGCUCAUGCACGAAAGCGUGGGGAGCAAACAGG
This 429-nucleotide ribosomal RNA is filed under the name Acidobacteriota bacterium. RNAcentral describes it as "Acidobacteria bacterium partial 16S ribosomal RNA". It matches the Rfam family "Bacterial small subunit ribosomal RNA", at positions 355 to 776 of the family's 1533-position model. The record is from RNAcentral. Lineage: Bacteria; Pseudomonadati; Acidobacteriota.